CAGGGAAUCUUCGGCAAUGGACGAAAGUCUGACCGAGCAACGCCGCGUGAGUGAAGAAGGUUUUCGGAUCGUAAAACUCUGUUGGUAGAGAAGAACGUUGGUGAGAGUGGAAAGCUCAUCAAGUGACGGUAACUACCCAGAAAGGGACGGCUAACUACGUGCCAG
RNAcentral lists this ribosomal RNA (165 nucleotides) under uncultured bacterium. RNAcentral describes it as "partial 16S rRNA". It matches the Rfam family "Bacterial small subunit ribosomal RNA", at positions 355 to 511 of the family's 1533-position model. The record is from RNAcentral.